GCAGAUGUAGCUCAAUGGCAGAGCACUCGCUUCCCAAGCCAGUAACGCGGGUUCGAUUCCCGUCAUCUGCUCCA
This 74-nucleotide transfer RNA is filed under the name Clostridia bacterium. RNAcentral describes it as "tRNA-Gly". It matches the Rfam family "tRNA". Rfam says of the family: Transfer RNA (tRNA) molecules are approximately 80 nucleotides in length. The record is from RNAcentral. Lineage: Bacteria; Bacillati; Bacillota; Clostridia.